UACGAGGGACCUAGCGUUGUUCGGAAUCAUUGGGCGUAAAGGGUGCGUAGGCGGCCAAGUAAGUCAGUUGUGAAAGCCCCGGGCUCAACCCGGGAAGUGCUUCUGAUACUGCUUGGCUUGAGUAUUGGAGAGGUGAGUGGAAUUCCAGGUGUAGUGGUGAAAUACGUAGAUAUCUGGAGGAACACCGGCGGCGAAGGCGGCUCACUGGCCAUAUACUGACGCUGAAGCACGAAAGCGUGGGGAUCAAACAGG
Molecule: ribosomal RNA, 252 nt
Filed under: uncultured bacterium
Lineage: Bacteria
Description: partial 16S ribosomal RNA
Rfam family: Bacterial small subunit ribosomal RNA
Source: RNAcentral